GAUGAACGCUGGCGGCGUGCCUAAUACAUGCAAGUCGAGCGAACGGACGAGAAGCUUGCUUUUCUGAUGUUAGCGGCGGACGGGUGAGUAACACGUGGAUAACCUACCUAUAAGACUGGGAUAACUUCGGGAAACCGGAGCUAAUACCGGAUAAUAUUUUGAACCGCAUGGUUCCAAAGUGAAAGACGGUCUUGCUGUCACUUAUAGCUGGAUCCGCGCUGCAUUAGCUAGUUGGUAAGGUAACGGCUUAGCAAGGCAACGAUGCAUAGCCGACCUGAGAGGGGGGUAGCCGACACGGGAGCGUGGACACGGUCCAGACUCCUACGGGACGCAGCAGAAGGGAAUCGGACGCAAUGGGCGAAAGCCUGACGGAGCAACGCCGCGUGAGUGAUGAAGGCGUUCGGAUCGGAAAACUCUGUUAUUAGUGAAGAACAUAUGUGUAAGUAACUGUGCAGAUCGUGACGGUACCUAAUCAGAAAGCCACGGCUAACUACGUG
RNAcentral lists this ribosomal RNA (497 nucleotides) under uncultured bacterium. RNAcentral's name for it is "partial 16S ribosomal RNA". It matches the Rfam family "Bacterial small subunit ribosomal RNA", at positions 28 to 507 of the family's 1533-position model. The record is from RNAcentral.